AUACACAGAGAACCACGUGGAGGAAAAGCACGCGAGUUUGGAGCGGGUGGAGCAGGAACAGAGGUGGACUGGAAUGUCACACGACGGGGCAGCUGGAAGGGCACCACUGAGUUCAGUACUUCAAAAUUGCCGUGCUCUACCUCUCCCCAGUGCACAAAAACACUCUCCACACCAAGCUGCUGCUGCUGGGGGAUGGAGGGAUGGCGUCAGCGAUUCAAGACUGUUUUUCCUACCUGUUCAGCACUUCUUUCAGCGAUAUGAAGUUAAAUCCAGGCCAAGUUCCCACCUGGUGGGAAGCACUGUGCAGGUUCGUGGGGAUGCAGCCCUGCACAGCCCAGACUGGACUCCUUCCCCAUGGAACUCACAACACACGGGAGAGGCAGAGAGAUCCAAGCGCACAGAAAAACACAAGAAGAUUCAGCCCUGUCAUCUUGUGCAAAAAGGUGUGACUCAUAAGACUGGAAACUCCUGAACGUAGCAAGGAUGCUGGCAGCCAAGCCAAUGACUACAAACAUGAUAAAGUCCAUUACAAGGAUGGAAAGUCCACAGAACAGAAAA
This is a long non-coding RNA of Homo sapiens (human), 558 nucleotides long. Ensembl annotates it as USP2 antisense RNA 1. Its record names the gene USP2-AS1. The record is from Ensembl. NCBI's taxonomy places the organism in Eukaryota, Metazoa, Chordata, Mammalia, Primates, Hominidae.